CUUGUCUCAAAGAUUAAGCCAUGCACGUUUAAAUACAAGCCUUAAAAUGGUGAAAUCGCGAAUAGCUCAUUACAACAGCCAUUGUUUCUUGGAUCUUACUUUCUACUUGGAUAACUGUGGUAAUUCUAGAGCUAAUACACGCACACAAGUUCCGACGUAAGAAGGAACGCAUUUAUUAGAACUAAACCAAUCGGGCUUCGGCCUGUUGUUUGGUGAAUCUGAAUAACUCCGCAGAUCGCAUGGUCUAGCACCGGCGACAUAUCUUUCAAGUGUCUGCCUUAUCAACUUUCGAUGGUAGUUUAUGUGACUACCAUGGUUGUAACGGGUAACGGAGAAUUAGGGUUCGACUCCGGAGAGGGAGCCUGAGAAACGGCUACCACAUCCAAGGAAGGCAGCAGG
This 399-nucleotide ribosomal RNA is filed under the name Microlaimus sp. 46L25C15. Its description in RNAcentral is "SSU rRNA". It matches the Rfam family "Eukaryotic small subunit ribosomal RNA", at positions 31 to 432 of the family's 1831-position model. Lineage: Eukaryota; Metazoa; Nematoda; Chromadorea; Desmodorida; Microlaimidae. The record is from RNAcentral.